ACAAUAAAUCACAAUGCGGGACUAUUCGUCUUGCAAUUGGAUUGAGAACAAUGUACAACUCUUAUCGAUAAGCCAUUGGAGGGCAAGUCUGGUGCCAGCAGCCGCGGUAAUUCCAGCUCCAAUAGCGUAUAUUAACGUUGUUGCAGUUAAAAAGCUCGUAGUUGAAGUGUGGGUGGUGCCAUCUGUGGAGCUUCGGCUUUUAAGAUGAUCACUACCCCCUUCCAGUAUCCAGUAGUGGGUAUUCAGUUACUUACUACUGUGUGUUGGUCAUUUACUGUGAGAAAAUUAGAGUGUUCAAAGCAGGCGUUUGCUUGAAUAGAUUAGCAUGGAAUAAUAAUUGAAGGCUUUCGUGUUCGAUUUGAUUGGUUUGUUCAUGGAAGCAAGGUUAAAAGGAACAGUUGGGGGUAUUCAUAUUCACUAGUUAGAGGUGAAAUUCUCGGAUUUAUGGAAGAUGAACAA
This 459-nucleotide ribosomal RNA is filed under the name Blastocystis sp. subtype 1. RNAcentral describes it as "SSU rRNA". It matches the Rfam family "Eukaryotic small subunit ribosomal RNA", at positions 470 to 942 of the family's 1831-position model. The record is from RNAcentral. Lineage: Eukaryota; Bigyra; Opalinata; Blastocystidae.